UGGGGAAUUUUGGACAAUGGGCGCAAGCCUGAUCCAGCCAUGCCGCGUGCGGGAAGAAGGCCUUCGGGUUGUAAACCGCUUUUGUCAGGGAAGAAAUCUUCUGAGUUAAUACCUCGGGAGGAUGACGGUACCUGAAGAAUAAGCACCGGCUAACUACGUGCCAGCAGCCGCGGUAAUACGUAGGGUGCAAGCGUUAAUCGGAAUUACUGGGCGUAAAGCGUGCGCAGGCGGUUUUGUAAGACAGAGGUGAAAUCCCCGGGCUCAACCUGGGAACUGCCUUUGUGACUGCAAGGCUUGAGUGCGGCAGAGGGGGGAUGGAAUUCCGCGUGUAGCAGUGAAAUGCGUAGAUAUGCGGAGGAACACCGAUGGCGAAGGCAAUCCCCUGGGCCUGCACUGACGCUCAUGCACGAAAGCGUGGGGAGCAAACAGGAUUAGAUACCCUGGUAGUCCACGCCCUAAAACGAUGUCAACUGGUUGUUGGGAAGGUUCCUUCUCAGUAACGUAGCUAACGCGUGAAGUUGACCGCCUGGGGGAGUACGGCCGCAAGGUUGAAACUUAAAUGAAUUGACGGGGUCAUAGCUGUUUCC
RNAcentral lists this ribosomal RNA (587 nucleotides) under uncultured bacterium. RNAcentral describes it as "partial 16S ribosomal RNA". It matches the Rfam family "Bacterial small subunit ribosomal RNA", at positions 355 to 937 of the family's 1533-position model. The record is from RNAcentral.